RNAcentral lists this ribosomal RNA (1343 nucleotides) under uncultured bacterium. RNAcentral describes it as "16S ribosomal RNA". It matches the Rfam family "Bacterial small subunit ribosomal RNA", at positions 28 to 1378 of the family's 1533-position model. The record is from RNAcentral.
GACGAACGCUGGCGGCGUGCUUAACACAUGCAAGUCGAACGGAAAGGCCCUGCUUUUGUGGGGUGCUCGAGUGGCGAACAGGUGAGUAACACGUGAGUAACCUGCCCUUGACUUUGGGAUAACUUCAGGAAACUGGGGCUAAUACCGGAUAGGAGCUCCUGCUGCAUGGUGGGGGUUGGAAAGUUUCGGCGGUUGGGGAUGGACUCGCGGCUUAUCAGCUUGUUGGUGGGGUAGUGGCUUACCAAGGCUUUGACGGGUAGCCGGCCUGAGAGGGUGACCGGCCACAUUGGGACUGAGAUACGGCCCAGACUCCUACGGGAGGCAGCAGUGGGGAAUAUUGCACAAUGGGCGGAAGCCUGAUGCAGCAACGCCGCGUGCGGGAUGACGGCCUUCGGGUUGUAAACCGCUUUCGCCUGUGACGAAGCGUGAGUGACGGUAAUGGGUAAAGAAGCACCGGCUAACUACGUGCCAGCAGCCGCGGUGAUACGUAGGGUGCGAGCGUUGUCCGGAUUUAUUGGGCGUAAAGGGCUCGUAGGUGGUUGAUCGCGUCGGAAGUGUAGUCUUGGGGCUUAACCCUGAGCGUGCUUUCGAUACGGGUUGACUUGAGGAAGGUAGGGGAGAAUGGAAUUCCUGGUGGAGCGGUGGAAUGCGCAGAUAUCAGGAGGAACACCAGUGGCGAAGGCGGUUCUCUGGGCCUUUCCUGACGCUGAGGAGCGAAAGCGUGGGGAGCGAACAGGCUUAGAUACCCUGGUAGUCCACGCUGUAAACGGUGGGUACUAGGUGUGGGGUCCAUUCCACGGGUUCCGUGCCGUAGCUAACGCUUUAAGUACCCCGCCUGGGGAGUACGGCCGCAAGGCUAAAACUCAAAGGAAUUGACGGGGCCCCGCACAAGCGGCGGAGCAUGCGGAUUAAUUCGAUGCAACGCGUAGAACCUUACCUGGGUUUGACAUGGAUCGGGAGUGCUCAGAGAUGGGUGUGCCUCUUUUGGGGUCGGUUCACAGGUGGUGCAUGGCUGUCGUCAGCUCGUGUCGUGAGAUGUUGGGUUAAGUCCCGCAACGAGCGCAACCCUUGUUCACUGUUGCCAGCACGUUAUGGUGGGGACUCAGUGGAGACCGCCGGGGUCAACUCGGAGGAAGGUGGGGAUGACGUCAAGUCAUCAUGCCCCUUAUGUCCAGGGCUUCACGCAUGCUACAAUGGCUGGUACAGAGAGUGGCGAGCCUGUGAGGGUGAGCGAAUCUCGGAAAGCCGGUCUCAGUUCGGAUUGGGGUCUGCAACUCGACCUCAUGAAGUCGGAGUCGCUAGUAAUCGCAGAUCAGCAACGCUGCGGUGAAUACGUUCCCGGG